GUCGCCCGCUCAUAUGCAUCUGCUGCUGCAUUGGAUGGUCACAUAUUCGCUUUCGGUGGUGGAGGUGGCAACUCAUCAUGGUAUAACACAGUGGAAUGCUAUAGUUCAAGGAAUAACGAGUGGAUAGAAUGCCCCUCAUUGAACCGAAAGAAAGGAAGUCUUGCUGGUAUCAGUCUUAAUAGCAAAAUAUAUGCUAUUGGUGGAGGAGAUGGAAAUGAAACUUUUUCAGAAGUUGAGAUGUUUGAUCCAUAUCUCGGGAAAUGGAUAUGUGGUCCAUCUAUGCUGAUUUCUCGAUUUGCUCUUGCUGUAGCUGAAUUGAAUGGCACCAUCUAGGCAUCUACGCAACUGGUGGAUAUGAUGGAAGCACGUACUUACAAUCAGCAGAACGGUACGACCAAAGGGAGGGUGUCUGGGCCCGGCCGUCUUCCAAGUAUGAGCACAAAGAGGGGAUGCCAUGCCCUAACUGUCCUGGGAGAAAGCCUAUAUGCAAUGGGAGGAUACAAUGGGGACAAGAUGGUUUCUAGCGUUGAGAUCUUCGACCCUCGCCUCAAUGCCUGGAGGAUGGGAGAUCCCAUGGGCGCCCCAAGAGGAUACGCCGCUACAGUUACUCUGGAUGGAAGCGCGUAAAAAGGAAGAUAAAAAUAAAAAACUUAGGGAAAAGUAUCUUGAACGGUGUAAAGACACACCAGCGCUUAUGUAUGCCAAAUACACUCUUGGAUUUAGCUACAACUACACGAUCGCAGUUAAUAAACAUAUUCCUGGAUGGGAUGAGGAUGUUUUCAAAUAGAAAUU
This is a long non-coding RNA of Sorghum bicolor (sorghum), 792 nucleotides long. RefSeq lists it as uncharacterized. The transcript has 5 exons. NCBI's taxonomy places the organism in Eukaryota, Viridiplantae, Streptophyta, Magnoliopsida, Poales, Poaceae. The record is from RefSeq and is a predicted model, not a curated record.